This is a non-coding RNA of Trichobilharzia regenti, 82 nucleotides long. The record is from Rfam. NCBI's taxonomy places the organism in Eukaryota, Metazoa, Platyhelminthes, Trematoda, Strigeidida, Schistosomatidae.
AGCCCUCUGUAUCCGGGCUGAGAUUUCGUCAGAGAUCAGCCCGCUGGCGCUGGCUGAUGGUACUUCCCAAAUAAGUGAAGCG